CAGCACUGCAAACACAAAGAAUGAAAAUAAAGCAGUCAGGGAGGAUUUGUCUGUUAACGCUCGGACUUCACGCCAGCGUUUAGCAUGGGAGAGAACCACUUUGCAGCCCUGACGUUCCUCCCACGCGGGACCUUCGGGGUCACGCCGUGUGGGGAGCUCUUUGUGUGUGUGUCUGCUUGGCUUCGUGAAAAGCAUCCCGAGGAUGAAAGACGUUCUUAAAGGAGAAGGUGGAGCAGAUAUUUGGACUGUUCUUUUUAGACCUCCCCGUCCUAAUGAGCAAAUAUCCUGCUAAACAUUUGUCUCUUGAAAGUGAAGGCAAAGGCGGGAGAGAAAAUUGCGACAUCCAUAAAUAAACCAAGCCCGCAGUCAGCCGAGGUCUCGGCUUCCAAAGAAGAACCUCAAAGGACAGACGCCGACCGCUAACCCAGCCUUCAAAGUGUCAAUACGGGAAGACAAGGUGUCCAAUGCUGAGCUUCGCAUGUUGCAGAUGAUGAAAGGAGCUCCCUCCCUUCUCCGCUCCCCUCCCCAACCCUUUUUUUUAAUGACUCCUGCUCACGCUGGGUCAACUUUUCCCGAGGGGCCCCGUGUGAGGAGCAAAAUACUGGAAGAGCCUUUCACAACAGGGUAGCACAAAAUUGCCCCGACAGAAGUCAGAAACAUUUCAGGCUCGUUUCGAAAGCCCAUCAUCGAACGUGAAGAGCACCCAAUUUUGAUUUUUGCUUUCCCACUGCUUCCACUUGUUUGUUUGCAGAAGUUGACUCAGAUGAACUUUUGGGUGCAAGGAGGGAGGGAGGCGGGCCUGGGAAACCGAGUCAGCUGACAGGACACGGCGCUCUGCAGUCGCCGUUUCUACUCCGCCUCAAGUUGCGUUUCCUGUUUUGAUUCAUUCACAGAAUUCAAUCAAUAACUCUAUUGCUAUUGAUUUGCCUUCUCCUCCUGGAUAAUUGGAUCAAUUAUGAUCCAAUACAUAAAUAAUGUUCCUAAUUCAUUGAAUUCAUGUCAUCAUGCUUUAUAGUGUCUUGCAAGUAAAGUGCUUUUUGUGUAAUUCAGGGCAAAAACUGUUUUGUCAGUGAUGCAAUGUUUUUGCCGUUUGUCAAGAAUACGAUUUGAAUUAAGCAACAAAAUUGGGGAAGGCGGGUUGUUGUCGUUAAAGUCUGCGCAGUGAUGCAACAAAGUGAGACGAUAUGUAAGAUGUUUGGACGCCUUUUGGACACUUCCAAAAUGUCCUCUAGGGAUGAAUCACACUUUGUAUUUUGGGAUGCGGCACGGCGCACAUGUGGAAAAUAGCAGCAGAUGUGCUCACACGGCUCUUUUCACAUCUGGCCUUGCCACACUGCCCCUUUUUUUAAAAUUUUUUUAAAUCCUGUCCACGCUGCGUCUGUUUUCAUUUAUCAGUUUGGCCUUUCUGUAGGAUUUUGUAGGAAACUGCAAUGCACUCCCAAAAGAUGCUUUUAAUUGCGUGUCAUGUCAUCAUGUGCUCAGGGUUUUGAGGAAUAAUCAGAAAUCGGUGGAUGUGGAAGCAGAUGAGGUCGUUUCUCUUCUGCACUGAAACCAGCAGCUCUUGAGAAGCAACACACCAUCCCUUGUCUCAAACAAUGGCCGGCCUUGUCAUCCCACCACCUGCCGUCCUCCCCUCGGAAUGUUUGCCAGGUUUCCCUGACCGUGACAACCCCCCGCCCCCUCCCCGUCCCACCCGGAACCAACUGCCUGCUUCUCCCGCUGAGAUCCGAUUCAGGGUCCUGCUACUCCCGUCCGUCUUCAAUUUCAGACAUGACACAAUCCAAAGCGCACGUUGCUUUUCCUGCCCUUGACGUGACCUCACGUCACUUUUGGCUGUUUGCUAACGUUAAGGCUACUUCACCUUCUUGAAUGGCAUCAGGUGUACUUAUAAAUUCAGUCUGAAUUUAUUAAGGUGUGCCUCAGGGGUCCGUACUCAGCCCUAUGCUUUUUCUUACUGACUUACAGUUUAUCAGUAUUUUAGUCACCAGCAGAUGGAAAUAGAAAAACGAUUUAUGGAUAGCCUUUUGGAUUUUCGAAGAAUAUUCGGUGUAAAGCAGGCAAACGAUUUUGAUUAUUAAAAAAAAAAGACCAUAAAUGCUCAUAUUAAAUAAUCCAAUGUCGCUGGGAGGACUGAAUGCCCCAUUAAUGAAAUGACAUGAAAGACAUGAAAAAACAUGAAGUUGCCAUCUUCUAACACUGCUCCAUUGACACGCACAACAAGCGAGUGGGAGCAAACACAGACGGAGCGACACUUGUUUCUUUCAAAGCCUUCUGCUUCCAGUCCAGUUUGACUGCUGGACAUUGUUCUUGACAAAUAGAAGGCGAGAAGGGAAACCAGUUCAUCAAUGGAAAAACAACUCCAUCACCGCAAAAUAAUUUCAGCUGUUAUGUGUACAAUUAGAUUUUUCCCAUCACUCCAAUCGGGAAGUGAAGUCGAAAAAAAAGUGGCUGCGGCCGUGCUCAUCCCAAAUGGACAAAUAAUAACCACCGGAAUGUGAGGAAUGCCUUGAGAACAAUGUCAGCGCUAUCGGAAUUGAUUUUGCUCACAGUGCAAACAACUUUUAGACAAGAUUGACUUUCAGAUGAAAAAGAUUCUCUGUAAAUGUGUGCUAGAGAAAAGUGACGGGUUUGAAAAUGCAGAAACGUCACCAGCCGUCUUCUUUAUCCUCUGCAAAAAACGUCUCAUAUCACUGCUGUACUGAGAAAUCUGGAAAGGAGCUGAGCAUAUAUGUGCAGUGUAUCUCCUUCUGCCCCCUGGUGGCCAACAAUGCAGAGAAACCGUAACCCCAAUGUGGACCGCGCUUAAAAUCAGUUUGACGUGCAUGACGUGAGUUUCGGCAUCUGUCCACUUCAUCAACUUUCCUCGUCCCUUACCUUUGUGCUUGUCCAUUCCCCCUUGUCCCGAGGUGUCCCGCUCCACUCAUACAAGCCGACUGUCCCUAAAGUCUUCAGACAAGAGUGACGGACCCCGGAAAACACCUUACUGACUCGGGUAGCGGCAGCCGGCUCUCCACGUCCUCUCCUACUCUGUGCGUUGUGGUGAGUGGCGCUCGCUUCCUUCUCCCUGCCUGCAGCAUCCACACACACACACACACACACACACACACACACACACACACACACCAAAACCACUCGGAAACUCCCCUUUCGAGUUAAAGUCCAAGUAUGCCUCAUGAGAAAAUAGAGAUGAGCUUGACUUGGUACUUGCACGAUUUUCAAAAGCACAAAUUUGUG
This is a long non-coding RNA of Syngnathus typhle (broad-nosed pipefish), 3234 nucleotides long. RefSeq lists it as uncharacterized. The transcript has 2 exons. The record is from RefSeq and is a predicted model, not a curated record. NCBI's taxonomy places the organism in Eukaryota, Metazoa, Chordata, Actinopteri, Syngnathiformes, Syngnathidae.